Acanthosepion pharaonis is the source of this 100-nucleotide non-coding RNA. The record is from the annotation of a GenBank genome assembly. Lineage: Eukaryota; Metazoa; Mollusca; Cephalopoda; Sepiida; Sepiidae.
GCCAAAUCACGUUAAAACACCGGUUCUCGUAAGAUCACCGAAGUUAAGCAAUGUUGAGCCUGGUCAGUACCUAGACACUUGGGAAUACAAGAUGCUGUAA